This 253-nucleotide ribosomal RNA is filed under the name uncultured bacterium. RNAcentral's name for it is "partial 16S ribosomal RNA". It matches the Rfam family "Bacterial small subunit ribosomal RNA", at positions 524 to 776 of the family's 1533-position model. The record is from RNAcentral.
UACAGGGGGUGCAAACGUCGCUCGGAAUCAUUGGGCGUAAAGCGCGCGUAGGCGGUCAUUUAUGUCGGAUGUGAAAGCCCUUGGCUUAACUGAGGAAGAGCAUCCGAAACUGAAUGGCUUGAGUACCAAAGAGGGUCGCGGAAUUCCCGGUGUAGAGGUGAAAUUCGUAGAUAUCGGGAGGAACACCGGUGGCGAAGGCGGCGACCUGGGUGGAAACUGACGCUGAGGCGCGAAAGCGUGGGGAGCAAACAGG